This 301-nucleotide ribosomal RNA is filed under the name uncultured bacterium. RNAcentral's name for it is "partial 16S ribosomal RNA". It matches the Rfam family "Bacterial small subunit ribosomal RNA", at positions 509 to 807 of the family's 1533-position model. The record is from RNAcentral.
CAGUAGCCGCGGGAAUACGAAGGGGGCUAGCGUUGUUCGGAAUUACUGGGCGUAAAGCGCACGUAGGCGGAUAUUUAAGUCAGGGGUGAAAUCCCAGAGCUCAACUCUGGAACUGCCUUUGAUACUGGGUAUCUUGAGUAUGGAAGAGGUGAGUGGAAUUCCGAGUGUAGAGGUGAAAUUCGUAGAUAUUCGGAGGAACACCAGUGGCGAAGGCGGCUCACUGGUCCAUUACUGACGCUGAGGUGCGAAAGCGUGGGGAGCAAACAGGAUUAGAUACCCCCGUAGUCCCUGUCUCUUAUAC